GGACGGCUAGCCCCAUCUGGAAGACUAGUGAUUUUGUUGUUGUCUCAUUACCGUUCAACAACAAGUCCCAGUCUGCCGUAUGGUGCAGGCCACCGCA
This is a microRNA precursor of Loxodonta africana (African savanna elephant), 97 nucleotides long. NCBI's taxonomy places the organism in Eukaryota, Metazoa, Chordata, Mammalia, Proboscidea, Elephantidae. The record is from Ensembl.